Molecule: ribosomal RNA, 404 nt
Filed under: Verrucomicrobiota bacterium
Lineage: Bacteria; Pseudomonadati; Verrucomicrobiota
Description: Verrucomicrobia bacterium partial 16S ribosomal RNA
Rfam family: Bacterial small subunit ribosomal RNA
Source: RNAcentral
UGGGGAAUAUUGCACAAUGGGGGAAACCCUGAUGCAGCGACGCCGCGUGAGCGAUGAAGGCUUUCGAGUCGUAAAGCUCUGUCCUAUGGGAAGAUAAUGACGGUACUAUAGAAGAAAGCCCCGGCUAAUUACGUGCCAGCAGCCGCGGUAAUACGUAAGGGGCGAGCGUUGUCCGGAAUUAUUGGGCGUAAAGAGUGCGUAGGCGGCAAAUUAAGUCAGAUGUGAAAACUAAGGGCUCAACCCAUAGAUUGCAUCUGAAACUGAUAUGCUUGAGUCAAGGAGAGGAAAGUGGAAUUCCUAGUGUAGCGGUGGAAUGCGUAGAUAUUAGGAGGAAUACCGGUGGCGAAGGCGACUUUCUGGACUUGAACUGACGCUGAGGCACGAAAGCGUGGGGAGCAAACAGG